UACGUAGGGGGCAAGCGUUGUCCGGAUUUAUUGGGCGUAAAGCGCGUGUAGGCGGCCAGGUAGGUCCGCUGUGAAAACCCGAGGCUCAACCUCGGGACGUCGGCGGAAACCAUUUGGCUAGAGUCCGGAAGAGGAGAGUGGAAUUCCUGGUGUAGCGGUGAAAUGCGCAGAUAUCAGGAAGAACACCAAUGGCGAAAGCAGCUCUCUGGGACGGUACUGACGCUGAGACGCGAAAGCGUGGGGAGCGAACAGG
This 253-nucleotide ribosomal RNA is filed under the name uncultured bacterium. RNAcentral's name for it is "partial 16S ribosomal RNA". It matches the Rfam family "Bacterial small subunit ribosomal RNA", at positions 524 to 776 of the family's 1533-position model. The record is from RNAcentral.